This 406-nucleotide ribosomal RNA is filed under the name uncultured bacterium. RNAcentral's name for it is "partial 16S ribosomal RNA". It matches the Rfam family "Bacterial small subunit ribosomal RNA", at positions 28 to 526 of the family's 1533-position model. The record is from RNAcentral.
GACGAACGCUGGCGGCGCGCUUAACACAUGCAAGUCGAGCGAAGCGGCGGACGGGUGAGUAACACGUGAGUAACCUGCCUUAGACAUUGGGAUAGCCUCGGGAAACCGGGAUUAAUACCAAAUGGUCUAAGAUGGACUCGCGUCCCAUUAGCUAGUUGGUGGGUAACGACCCACCAAGGGGACGAUGGGUAGCCGGGCUGAGAGGGUGGACGGCCACAUUGGAACGGAGAAACGGUGCGAACUCUACGGGAGGGAGCAGUGGGGAAUAUUGCACAAUGGAGGGAACGCUGAUGCAGUGACGCCGGGUGAACGAAGAAGGCGUGCGAGUCGUGAAGAUCUUUUAUAUGGGAAGCGGUACCAGAAGAAAAAGCCCCGGCUAACUACGUGCCAGCAGCCGCGGUAAUUC